Molecule: ribosomal RNA, 389 nt
Filed under: uncultured bacterium
Lineage: Bacteria
Description: bacterial SSU rRNA
Rfam family: Bacterial small subunit ribosomal RNA
Source: RNAcentral
AAUCAACGCUGGCGGCAUGCCUUACACAUGCAAGUCGAACGGCAGCACGGGGGCAACCCUGGUGGCGAGUGGCGGACGGGUGAGUAACACAUCGGAACGUGCCCUGGAGUGGGGGAUAACGCAGCGAAAGCUACGCUAAUACCGCAUAUUCUGUGAGCAGGAAAGCAGGGGAUCGCAAGACCUUGCGCUUUGGGAGCGGCCGAUGUCGGAUUAGCUAGUUGGUGGGGUAAAGGCUUACCAAGGCGACGAUCCGUAGCGGGUCUGAGAGGAUGAUCCGCCACACUGGGACUGAGACACGGCCCAGACUCCUACGGGAGGCAGCAGUGGGGAAUUUUGGGACAAUGGGCGGAAGCCUGAUCCAGCCAUGCCGCGUGAGUGAAGAAGGCCUC